Molecule: long non-coding RNA, 17527 nt
Filed under: Gossypium raimondii (Peruvian cotton)
Lineage: Eukaryota; Viridiplantae; Streptophyta; Magnoliopsida; Malvales; Malvaceae
Description: long non-coding RNA (GRAI_LNC005884)
Source: RNAcentral
UCCUUGAAAGCUUCAAUCAAGACUUCAUAAAAGACCAGGCCCCCUUGUUAGUUUACAAAAAAAGGGAGCUUCGGAAAUGGAAGUGGAGUCUGUCUUGCUUGCUUUGCUGUUGAUAAAUGCCCUUACGUUUUCGCAGCUUAAUCUGGCAGUUGAGGCGGCUGAGUCUGUUCCUCUAUCACCAUCGGAUGAUUUCUCGAAAGAGUUGAAAGCUUUAUCUAGGAGGAGUCGGCGAAUAACUCCACCAUCACCCAGGAUUAAUGCUCCUGUUCACUUCAAAAGCCCUCCUCCAUCACCUCGACCUCCUCCGCCGCCACGGUCACCACCACCUCCAUGUCUGUGGCGUCCACCUACUGCGUUUGGAUAAGACGAUUGUUUCCCAGGUUACACACAGUUGAUGAAGCUCUCAUGUCAUCAGCUUUUGUUUGUAAAUUGUAAAACUUUAAAGUGCUUGUAUGUUAGCAGCAAAUACCAACUUUGUUUAGCUCUGAUAAUAAUUAAAUUUGUAAUGAUAAAAAUAAUAAUAUGUUAAAUAUAAAAAUGAAUAAAUGUAUGCAUCACUUUCACUUAAACACUCUUUAAGAAAUUGUUUAAUAAGUAUCCCUUGUCUUCCCUUCCCAUCUCUUUGAAGUCUCCCGACCAUCUCUAUAUGUAGCAUAAAUGAUGAGCAGCCCUCCAUCAACGAGGACCCGGGUCCUCAAAGGCCAACUCAAAAAAGCAUCUCAAUCUAAGAGAGGAGGGUAGCCUUUUCAGUGCAGUGCUUUCAGGGUUGAAUGAGCAUCGAGGUCUUUCGAGAUUGGGGUUUUCUCGUAGGAAAAAAAUGAAAAAAUCAUCUUGAUAAUAGUCCUUUUAUAGAUCGGGUGGACAAAGGAAUAGCAAGCCUUUGGAAGGAAGAAAAAGCUAACAUAUGGACGAAGAUCGGGUGAAUGAGAUAAUUCCCAGAUUCAUUUCAAAAACCUCUAGAUUAGCCUUGGCCGAACACAGGUAAACCGUCCAGACCCCACUCAAACCAUAGUCCCCUCAAAGGCCAACUCAAAAACAACAAUCUCUACGUCUAUGGAGCCUGGACUGCAGAAACUGAGAAACCUCCAAUUCCAAGCUCCCUGGUUCGGUGCAACUUGGACUUUCUGGGAAGGGCAUUAAAUACCCAACCAACAUAUUUAUUUUGGCCACUUCACUGUAGAGGGAUCAUGGGUCGAGUUUGUGCCGGGUUCAGAUAAAAUUUUAGGCCCGUUUUAUUAGCCCGGAUCUGACUCGGUCUGGCCCAAAAUAUAGAUAUAAAAAUUUAUCUAAACUUGGCCCGAAAAAAUUAUUAAGCCCGAGCCUGACUCGGCCUAUAUUAAUUUUUUUAACUUAUUUCAUUAAAUAAAAAAUUUAAAACAAAUAUUAAAACAAAAAACAAAUAAAAAAUGAGACUAAAACAAUUCUUAAAACAAUACACAAAUUGAAAAUAUAAUAAAAAGUGAUUAUAUUAAAAUUGAAACAAAUUAGAACUAAAAUAAUAACUAAAUUAAUAAUAAAACAAAAGUAUAUUUGAUUAAAUAUAAAAUAUAUAUAUUUAAUAUAUAAUUCGUGCCAAGCCGGGCCGGGUCUAGCCCAAAAAAAUUUUACCUAAGGCUUAGCCCGUUUUCUAAACGGACCUCAUUUUUUUGGCCUAAACUUAUAUUUUGAACAUAUAUUUUUAUCUAAAUCUUUUUAUUUUUCAAGUAGACUAUCGGACCAGGCUAAAUAACUUAACCCAUGAUCACUUCUACUCCACUUCAGUAAUCAUUUGACUGCAGCCAAACCAAUAUCAAGUUGAUGGGACUGGGGGUCAAAAUUCAUGCACCAAGCAAUCUACGCUGCUAGACCCAAGACCAUUCUUCAGCUUGAUGAGCCCAAUGACCAGAGCCAAUGCUCUACGACUAGCUCCAUGAAACCCAAAAUGCAGCAAGAGACUCAUUGUAACGCCCCACUUUUGUUGUGUUUAGAUUGUUAAAGUAUGUUAAAUAAUUUAAUCUGGUAUGUGGUUAAGCGUCUUAAAUGUUUGUUUUAGGUCUUGACUUUAAUUCUUUUAUUUUGGAUUUUUUAUUAAUUUUGAUGUUAUGUUAAGCUUGACUUUUUAGGCUUAUCUUUUUAUUUUAUUAGAUUGUUGAUAAGGAUGAGCUUAUUAGUCUAGUAAACCGUCCAUUAUUCUCUCACCCCCUUUCACCUUUUUUCUCCCUGUUAUUGUUUUCUAUUUGGUUCUUUCCUCUCUUUUUUCUUUUUUUCCUCUUUGAGCUUUUUUCUUUUCUUUUGCUUUGAAUCUCCGAUUUCGAUUAUAAUCCAAAGAUAACGUAAGUUUUGUUAAAUUAUUUUGUUGUUAUUUUGGUGUUAAUUCGUUGUGCAAGGGUGAAAUUAUUAGUUUAAUCCUUUUAAUAUAUUAUGAUAAAUAUUCUAUUGAUUCUCUUAUCAGAUUAAAGGGAUGUGAAUCGAAACCCUAAAAUUUUUGGACUAUUUAUUUUAUAAUUUUAAAUGAUAAAAAUAUUAUAUUUUUAUAAAGAUAUAUACUAUUCAAAUGAUGAAAUUAUAUUUUAUUUUAUAAAAUUAAAUUUUAAUUUUAACAUUCUUAAAAAUAUUUUCUACCUUCCCCUCUUCCCUUACCGAUCAUAAACAUGGACAUCAAUCCUAAACAUGGACAUCAUAUGGCGAACAAAAUUUAUAUAAAUUUAAAAUUUUUUAAACACGGUUAUGUUUUUCUCCAGGUUUGUCCUAACCUCACUUGGCACCUUUUCCUCUUACAUAUCUUGAAAUAAGGGAUGUAAAAAAUAUGAAAAAAUUGCAACAAAUAGUUUUGAUAGUAUGCUCCGAGUGUAGCAUUUGGUGUCUGCUGGUUAUUAGUGUUUUCUUGUGUGUGUCGACUGUUGGUGUUUCUUAUGGAGGAGGGGUUAGCAGAUCUGCGUUUAACGGAGGAAGAAGACAAUAAGGAGUUGGAAGCUUGGGAGAUUGAACAGAAUAAGGAGAUAGAAGACUCUUUUUCGGAGUUGUGCUUGGUAGGGUGUUUUCUAACAGCAACUCCGAUAAAUUUUUAGGCUAUGCGGACUGUGAUGGCAAAUCUGUGGCAUUCUUUGGGGGGAGUUUCCAUUGCAGAUGUGGGUGAGAAAAGGUUUGUCUUUCAAUUUUAUUGUGAAAUGGAUUUUGAUAGGGUGGUGAAGGGCGCUCCUUGUACUUUUAACAACCAUUUACUUGUUUUUCAUCACUUAAAACAAGGCAAAGAUCCCUUGGAAGUGGAUUUAUUAUAUACCGAGUUCUGGGUUCAAAUUUAUAAUCUGCCACCUAGUUUCUUUACGGAAGCUAUUGCUAAAUAGUUUGGAGAUUUUAUUAGAGCCUUUGUGGAGUACGAUGUCAAAGCGAUUAUGGAGGGAUUAAGAAAUUAUAUGCGGAUUAGAGUUAAAGUUGAUAUCCGGCAAAGUCUGAAGAGAAGAAAGAAACUUAUUAUGGCAAAAAAAGAGUUCUUUACUAAUUUCAAAUAUGAAAGGUUGUCAACAUUUUGUUUUCUGUGUGGCAAGCUCGGACAUAGUGAGAAUUACUGUCCUAUACGAAUGGUGACAGGGAGAAAGGAGCUUCCUCUUGAAUGGGAUAUCUCGCUCAAAGCUCCUCCACGUAGGGCGGCGACGGUAGGCAGUAUUUGGUUAAGGGAACCAACUGAAAUUUGGGGAGUGUAUCAGGGAAUUUCUAAAAAUGAUGAAGGCAAACAAGGAAAGAAUCUGGGGGAAUUAAAUCUAAUGAGGAAUAAUGGAACGAAUUUGGGGUUGAAUUUAUAUGAAAAAUCAAAACAGAUUGUGAAUGAGGAGUUGGUGUUGAUGGAAGUUGGGUCUACUAAAGAGGAUCGGCCCAUUAUUGGAGGAGAGGGGAAAAAGAGGCCUAGACCCAAUAAUAUUCAAAAUGCCUCUACCACCGAUGAUAUGAUGUGGAAAAAUGGGUUAAUGGAGGAUGUUAAUCAAAUCAACCAUACGGCUGAACCUGCAGGGCAGGUCAACCGAGCAUUAUGAAAAUAUUAAGUUGGAACGUCCGUGGGCUGGAGAACCCACGGUCUGUUCAGAAAAUUCAGCAUGUGCUGAAAAAGUACUGUCCCCAAGUUUAUUUUUUUAUGGAGACAAAAGUAGAGAAAUCGAGAAUGGAAAGGAUAAGAAAGAAAUUUGGUUUUGCGAAUGGGGUGGAUAUUUCAGCUCAAGGAUCACGAGGGGGUCUUUCUUUGAGUUGGUGUAGUUCGAUGGAUGUUACCAUCUCAAGUUAUUCUGGGAAUCACAUUGAUGCAGUUAUUGUUAAUAGUGAUGGGGCGACAAAGUGGAGACUAACAGGGUUUUACGGUAUUCCAGAUUAUCAGUGGAGAGAUAUUUCUUGGGACUUGCUAAAGCGGCUGAGCACGAACAAUGAAUUGCCUUUGGUUGUUGUAGGGAUUUUAAUGAGAUUUUAUUUAGUUCUGAGAAACAAGGAGGUCGAUUGAGGGAAGCAAGGCAAAUGGAGGCUUUUCGAUCAGCUUUGGAAGAUUGUGAGCUGGUGGAUAUAGGGUAUUGCGGCCGAUGGUACACGUGGGAAAAGGGGAAUUUUGAGGCAAAUAAUAUAAUAGAGCGGCUUGAUAGGGGAGUGGCUACUUUGGGUUGGACUGAGAUGUUUCCGUUCUCCCGGCUCCUUCACAUUAAUAAUUCAACUUCUGAUCAUUGUCCUCUAUUGUUGGAUACGGAAUUUUCAACAAGUAAUGGUAAUUCUUCAAAUUCAGGGUGUUUAUUUCGCUUUGAAACUGCUUGGUUGUUAGAAGAUUCUUGUCAUGAGUAGGUUAGAUCUUUGUGGGACUCCAAUAAAAAUGUGUUAGUGCCUGAAAGAUUAACACUGAUGGGUGAGGGGCUCCGAAGAUGGGCUAGCCAUUUAAAGAAUGAGAGGGGUGCGAAUAUGAAGAAGCUGUCAGACUAAUUAAAUAAACUGUCUGAGGAAGAUCCUUCAGAUGACAUUCUCGAGGCUAUGAUUAAGACUAAAUUAGAGCUGAAUCUCGAGAUUGAUAAGGAAGAGCUCUAUUGGGAGCAAAGGGCUAGAUCGAAUUGGUUAAGGUAUGAGGAUCGGAACACUAGUUUUUUCCAUAAUCUUGCCUCAAGUAGACGUCGUAAAAAUAAGAUCGCUGGGCUGAAGGACCAAAAUGGGUCCAUCAAAGAUACGGACGAAGAUCUUAUGCGAAUUGCAACCAGUUAUUUUAAAGGACGGUUUGCGAGUGAGGGAAGUAGAGGAGCUCAAAAAUUUUUUGAAGGGGUCCAAAAAAUGAUAACAAUUGAGAUGAAUAGGAUGUUGCUGGAUACUUUCCGGGAGGAUGAAGUUAGGAGGGUGGUCAAGGAGAUGGGGGGAAAUAAAGCUCCCAGUUUUGAUGGCUUCCAUGCAGUGUUUUUUCAAAUAUUUUGGGCGAUUGUAGGCAAGGAUGUUACAAGCUUUUGCCUUAGAGUACUUAAUAGAGAACAACAGCUGAAUGAGGUUAAUUUUACAACGAUUGUUUUAAUCCCUAAAGUCUCAACGCCAGAUUGUAUGACAGAUUUUCGGCCCAUAAACUUAUGUACGGUGCUUUAUAAAAUUAUAGCGAAAGUCAUUGCUAACAGAUUUAAGAGAGUGUUAGAUGGUUGUAUUGAUGAAGCUCAAUGAGCGUUUGUCCCUGGUCGGCUUAUUACGGAUAAUGUCCUUACGGCUUAUGAAAUUAUACACACUUUUAAGAAUAGAAGAAAAUGGAAGAAGGGUUUUUUUGCUUUAAAGCUUGAUAUGAGUAAAGCAUACGACAGAGUUGAAUGGGGAUUUGUCACAGGUAUGAUGAGGAGUAUGGGGUUUGAUGAUAAAUGGGUGGAGUUGAUAAAUCAUUGUAUUUCUUCGGUCUCUUAUGCUGUUACGAUUAACAGAAGCUUGAGUGAGCCUUUUCAACCGAAACGGGGACUCAGACAAGGGGAUCCGUUGAGUCCCUAUUUGUUUCUUAUUUGUACUGAAGGUUUUUCAACAUUACUUAAACUAGCCAAGAGGGAUGGUCUUAUUCAAGGCGCACGUGUUUGUCGGGGGGCCCGAGGGUAACUCUUUUGUUUUUCGCGGAUGAUUACAUUAUCUUUGGAGAAGCAAAUGAGGAUGGCUGCAGGAUAAUGAAGGGAUUUCUUGAUGACUAUGAAAAAGCUUCAGGUCAAAAGAUUAAUUUGGACAAGUCUCAAAUUUUCUUUAGUUCUAACUAUUCUGAAGAAACUAGAGAGCUGUUGACAAAUUAUUUGGGUGUUAGGUCCGUAACGAGCAUGGAAAAGUAUUUGGGUCUGCCUACAAUGGUGGGGAGGAAGAAGAAUGAGGCUUUCCAAAGAUUGUGUGAUAGGCUGAGAACAAGAAUUGAUGGGUGGGGGAGUCGAAUAUUGUCUCAAGGGGGCAAAGAUGUCUUCAUCAAAGCAGUAUUACAGGCCAUACCGAUUUUUUUAAUGUCUUGUUUUUUGCUUCCAAAGUCAUUAUGUGCUGAAAUGGAAAAGAUUAUGAAUCGAUUUUGGUGGGGAAAAGGAGGUAAUAGGCAUGGUUUGCACUGGUCCUGCUGGACUGAUUUAUGUCAGGCUAAAGAGAAUGGGGGUCUAGAGAGAUUACCUGCUGUUAGAGAGGUGGAUAUCGAUCGAUGGAAACCCCCACAAGCUUCAUGGGUAAAAUUGAAUUUUGAUGCAGCCUACAAAGUUCAAUCGAAUAAGUCCCGUUCGGGGUUCAUCAUUAGAAACGAGAAAGGGGAAGUUAUGGGUAGUGGGAUUACUCUUCACUCCAACGUUUUGGAUGCGGGUUUGGCUGAAGCUUUAGCUUGCUAUCAAGGUCUCCUCUUUGCCAAAGAAAUGGGGUUAACAAAAGUAGAGGUUGAAGGAGAUGCACGGGUAGUAAUUGAGAAAAUCAAUCAGGAAGAAAAUGGUAGAGCACAUUUGGACUCGAUUAUAGAAGACAUCAAAGCAUUUGAAAGGUUUUUUCAUCAGAUUAGCGUUAAACAUGUUAGAAGAGAGGUUAAUCGAGUGGCUCAUCUCAUUGCUAGGGAGGGUUACAGUAGAUUAGAAAAUACCUUUUGGAUGGAAGACAUUCCGGCGGUGGCGAAAGAGCUGGUGGCUACUGAAGAGACGAGCAACGUUUUGUAAUCGACAGAAGGUUUUGUUCAAGGGUGUUUGGACUGGGCUGAUAAAUUCAUUGAAAGCCAUGCUUUAGUCACUAGAGAGAUUUACAUGGUGGUCUGGAGCUUUGUUUUACCGGGUUUCCACUUUACUUUUUCUUUUCUAUUGUUGUUUUUUUCAGAUGUUUUUGGUUUCUUUAACUAUUUUGAUUGGGUUUUGUUAGGUUUUAAUGGAAAUCACGGUUUUUAAUCAAAAAAAAUAUGAAAAAAUUGUUCUCUUCAAACUGCAUGCCGUUAAAUUUGGAAGUGCUUGAGGUUUCAUUACGUGUCCAACUGGAGGAAAUAAUAGCAUUAGAUUUUGAAUGGGACAGAAGAGGAAUGCCUACCAUGGAAUUUUGCCUUCUAAAAUUAAACAUACUUGUACUGGAAUGCCUACCUGAAUUGAAAAGUAUUUGCAAUGUUGAUGCAGUGGUGGUUUGUGAAUCCCUUAGAUGGAUUGAUAUAAUAGAUUGUCGGAAAUUAAAAAGGGUGCCUUUUAGUCUUCCCCAAAUCCGAUCAUCUUCACCAACUCUCAUUUUCUAUUUAUGUAGCGAUAGAGGAGUGGUGGAAAUCUGUGAGUAACAUUGGCAUUACUUAUAUUUUCUUGUUUCUAGGCAACUUUGAUGAAUGCAAUUGCAAGCUGUCUUCUUUAUUUGAAUCAAACCUCAUUUCUUUUUUGGUUGUAAUAAGCUUUGGUUAUUGUAUUUUGAUGCUUGUUUAUUGUGUCUUCCUUUUCCAUUCAAUACUUUUCCUUCGUAAUAUUCUAUAUCAACAAGACGAUAUACAUAUUAGAAAAAUUGAGAUAUUUCAAAGGAAUCAAAUAUCAUAUUCUUAAAGAAAGAUUUUGAGAUAUUUGUUUAUAAAUCUUUAUACUUCAUGAGUUAGAGGGAAUCAAGUUGAGAAGGUAGAUUUGUUCAUUAGAUUCAAAAAGUUAUUGUAAUAGAUUUUUGAACCUUUUAGUUUUUAAAAAUAUUUUUUAUUAGAUUUUUUAGAGUCCAAGAAAAAUAAACUUUUUAACUAAUAAAACUUAUAUUUAUCCAAGUUAUAAAUAACUUAAUCGAUUGAAAUUAUUUUUAGUUAAAUCCAAAUUCAUUGAACUAUUUUCAAACUAUUUCACUUACCUUUGCUAUUUUUAGCCAAUAAAAUUCUUAUAUAUAUGGUUGGAAGCCAAUGCAACUUUUGGAUAAAAGCCAAAUUUAUCCUUUAAAAGAUUUUUUUUUUGGAAGAUUCUAGAAUAUAAAAUAAAGAAAUAGGAUAUUAUCUAUAAGACUAGAUAUUAUAUAUGAAUAUUCUAGUUAUUAAAUAUUUGUAAAAUUAAUAGUAAGGAUAUUGACAUGUAUCAACAAUCCAACGGCCACUAAACUCUAUAAAUAGGGGUAAAGGCUUUCAUUCUUGUAAUGAUGUAAGAGAGAAGUGUGUAUCAUAUUAUAAUUGUAUUGUGUAUUAAUAAGAGUGUUUUCUUCUUUUGUAAUUGUAAGUCUCGGUUAAACCUUAAGUUUCUAAGCACUUAGUGCACUUGGAUUAGCUUUUAUAUACAGUGCACUAAUAAGUUAGAAAAUAAAAGAUUAACCGACUUCAGAAAUUUAGUGUAGCAUUAGUUGUAGGUCCGGCGAAAUAUCAUUAAAGACAGUAUCCAACACGUCUCAAGUUAUUCAACUUUUAUUUUUUAUUCUUUAAAUUGAAUAUUUACAAGAAUACAUACCAACACUUUUAAUUCUUUGAUUUCUAUUCAUAUAUAUUUAUAUCAUCCAUAUUUAUUCAUACAUUCAAAGUUGGGAAAGCAGUUGUGAUUUUGUGAGCUUGGAGUCUUAAUUUAAUCCCAACAAAACCUUAACAAAUCAUCAGCAAAUGAGAUUCAGCUACAAUCGAUUGGAUGAUCAAAGAAUAAAAAUUGUUUCUAUAGUUAUACAUCGUAUCGUGAAGAUUCGAGAAUCCUAAAGGAAUAAUUGAUAAGGGAUUAGAUUGGAAAGGGAUUAAUAGAGGAUAUGGGUAACAUGGAAGCAAACUUUGACAACUGUCAGACUAUACUAAGAACAUUAGUUGAUAAUUGAUUGUUAGAAAAUGUAGGAAAUGGAAGAGUGAAAAUGCAUGAUUUUGUAAUAGAUAUGGCUAAACUAAUCACCAAUGAGUUAUAUGAAUCAUGAAUUAACAUUGCAACUUUAACCUAUGUAUAAUUUAGCUCCAACAUUUAUAUUUUUUUAUUAACUAAAAUGAUACAAUAAAUCAAAAACAAUCAAAACUUAAAUUAAUUAAAAUUAACUUUGUAUUUUUUAUUCUUUAAAGACAGUAUCCAACACGUCUCUAGUUAUUCAACUUGUAUUUUUUAUUCUUUAAAUUGAAUAUUUACAAGAAUACAUACCAACACUUUUAAUUCUUUGAUUUAUAUUCAUAUAUAUUUAUAUCAUCCAUAUUUAUUCAUACAUUCAAAGUUGGGAGAGCUGUUGUGAUUUCAUGAGCUUGGAGUAUUAAUUUAAUCCCAACAAAACCUUAACAAAUCAUCAGCAAAUGAGAUUCAGUUACAACUGAUUGGAUGAUCAAAGAAUAAAAAUUGUUUCUAUAGUUACGCACUGUAUCGUGAAGAUUCGAGAAUUCUAAAGGAAUAAUUGAUAAGGGAUUAGAUUGGAAAGGGAUUAAUAGAGGAUGUGGGUAACAUGGAAGCAAACUUUGCCAAGUGUCAGACUAUCCUAAGAACAUUAGUUGAUAGUUGAUUGUUAGAAAAUGUAGGAAAUGGAAGAGUGAAAAUGCAUGAUUUUGUAAUAGAUAUGGCUAAACUAAUCACCAAUGAGGUUUAUGAAUCAUGAAUUAAUAUUGCAACUUUAACCUAUGUAUAAUCAAGCUCCAACAUUUAUAAUUUUUUAUUAACUAAAAUGAUACAAUAAAUCAAAAACAAUCAAAACUUAAAAUAAUUCGAAUUUAAUAAAAAUCAAAAUUAAAAUUAACUUUGUUGAUAUGGUAAUGCAACUAGAAGACAUGGGGAAGGACAUGGUUGUGAUUAUGGAGGUUGGUUCAUCCAGUUGGGAUAGAGAGCCAAAUACUACAAAGAGUGAGAAUGAAGAGAUAUGCAAACAAAGUGUUGAGGGGAACUUUUUUCAUCGUUCUUAGAAGUAUUUAUUGACGGGGUCCUGCAACAGCCCGAUUUUGGGUCUAGUCGGAACAGUAAUUUCAGGACCACAAAUUCGACGAGAAAAAAUCUAAUCGCCUAAAUUUUCAGGGGUGUCGGAACGGUGAUUCGAGAUCACUGAAUCCGACAAGUAAGUAAAAAAUAUUAUUAAUUUAGUGAGUAUAAGUUAAAUGUGAAGUUAAGAAAAUUUUUGAAAUAGUGAAUAGUGCACUAGAAAUAAAUAUUAAAAUAAUUAGAAUAAAAAACGAGGUAUCGAGACCUCAGAGAUUUUAAACCGAGCCAUAAAUGUUUAUAAAAAUAUUUAUGGAGUGUUAAAAAGUUAGUAUUAAAGUUUCGUUAAGAAAUUUUAAAGUUUCGAUAAUUAAUUGAACAAAAAGGACUAAAUUGUAACAAAUCCAAAAUUAUGGUAAAUGAUUAAAUAGCUUAAAUGAUAAAAGGAAGAGGGCUUAAAAGGAAAAUAGACUCAAUGUCUAUUUGGGCUGGACGGCAAAGGCAUGAAAUCAUCAAGAAUGUACGAAGAAUUAAGGGCAAAAUUGGAAUAUUGCAAAAUUACUUAAUAAAGCUAGGAUCAAAGUGGAAUUAUCGAGAUUUCUCUUUAUUUUUCUGCAUUCUCAUCAGCUAAAACAGCAUAGAAGGGUUUUCUUAAGCUGGUUUUUCAUAUUUUUACUGCAAGUAAGUUCAAUUCUUGAUUAUUUCUUGAAAUUGUUGUGUUUUUGUGACUUUUACAACUAGGCCCACUUGUUGAAUUCAUUAGAUUUUGAUUUUAUGAAAGAAGUUGAAAGUUGCUAUGAAUAUGUGCUGGAAGUAUAUGAUGAUUUAGAAUGGAAUUAGAGCUAUCCUCAGAACACUAGUAGAUAAUUGUUUGUUAGAAAAUGUAGGAAAUGAAAGAGUGAAAAUGCAUGAUCUUGUUAGAGAUUUGGCUAAACUUAUCACUCAUAAGUUGUAUGAAUCAUGAAUUAACAUUGCAACUUUAACACAUGUAUUGUUAAGCUCCAACAUUUAUAUUUUAGAUCAAUUAAAAUCAUACAAUAAAAAACAACCAAUCAAAAUUUAAAAUAAUUCAAAUUUAAUAAAAAUAAAACCUAAAAUUAACUUUAUUGAUAUAGAAAUACAAUAAAGAGGAGAUAUGGGAAAGGACAUGGUGGUGAUUUUGGAGGUUGAUUUACCCACUUGAGAGCGGAGAGCUAAGGACUGCAAAGAGUGAGAUUGAAGAGUGCAUAUAGGCAAAAUGUUGAGGGUAAGUUGAUAGAGUAUAUGUUUGUAUGUUUGGAGAGUCAAUCAUUUCUUCAUCGUUCUUGGGGGUAUUUAUUGGAGAGGGUCUUGUGAAGGUUGUUAACAUGCUAAAUUUGCCAUCUAACCAUCAUUACGGAACGUGUGGGGAGGAUGUCUAUGAUGGGAUGAGAAUGCCUGUGAUGAGACAGAUCUUGUUAUUCAUUAUAAUACAAUAGUGCAGAGUAGUUGAGCUCACACGGGAGUUGGUAACCAACAAUAUCACGUUUUUAACAAAAGGCCAAGGGUUCAAAGUAAUGAGUAGUUCUUGUUUGUCUAGAUAGUUAGGACGAGAGAUGAAACUUGGGGCAGCCUUCCAAUUGGUGGUUGGCAAAUUUGUUGCCUAGGUGACCUUCUAACUUGUCACGUGUCCUUAUUCAAGUAGGAGUAUAAUAAACUCAAUUUUUUAAAGAUGUAAAUUAGUUCAAUCUAAGUUAAACAAGUUAAUUAUAAAAAUUAAUUCACAAAACAUUUAUGUUUUAGGAUUAUUUCCCAAGAUAUUUAUGUUUCUUUUUCUUUUUGAAAGGUACUCAGAUGGCCUAUCAAUAAGAACUUUUUGAACUUUAAAUCCUAAUCUAUUUUUUUUAGACACUAAACUUUAAAUUAAAAUAUUUAAUUAACUUUUAAAGAGCCCACUUUUAAAACAAAAAAGCCUAUGAAAUAUUGAAACCUACGCAACAACCCUUUGAAAUAUAAUAAAAAGCCAUGACAUCACAUGCAUACAAAACUUAUAUAAAUUUAAAAUUUUUAAACACAGUUACGAAGUCAUAAAAAUACAAACAGUCUUUUAAUUAAAUAUGGUAGGUGCAUUAAUUAAAUCUCAAUGCCCACCGAAGUUGACUUAAAGGAGUUGAUAUAUAGGAUUGAUAAAUCAGUUUUUAUGGGCUAUUUUACCAAUCUAGCCUAAAAAAAUUUGAUAUUUACAAAAAUGACAUUGAUUCAAAAACAUUUACUAAAAUAACCUGAAAUGUACAGUAAAAUUAAGUUAUGAGAAAUAGAUAGCCGGCACCACUUUUUUCUAUUAAAAAAAUAAUUUUUGAGGUUUUAGACACUAGAUAUGUAACACCCCCUAACCCUAAACCGUCGCCGGAACAGGGUUAUGAGAUAUUACCGGACAUAUCAAAUAAUUUACAAAUAAUUCUUAAAUAAAUAACCAACAUAUUAUAAUAAUUCAAAAAUUCAUAUAAAUUUUACUAAUUGAUUUCAUUCAUUUUUUUUAUAAAAAUUUCGGCAUCAUUUCUGCUUAUUUUUACAUAAAACCCCCUGCAAAAUUUCAAAACAUAACUAACCCAAUUCCAAUAUUUCAAUCAAGGCAUUUAUAUACUUAAACCUUACUUGACAUAUUGACAUAACAACUUAAUUAAUAAAAAUCCUAUUAUCAUUUCUAAUUAACUCAUAAAACUAAUCAAGUCAUUUCAAUUCGAGACCAAUGCCAUAAAAGACUUCUACUAUUUUACUAAUAUAAUCAUCAAAACACAUAAUAUCUUACUUUACAACAAAACUAUAUAACAUACCAAAAUAACUAUUAUAAUUCUUAUGUACAUGCCACUUUCAUUUAAUGAAGAAAACAUCAUCGAAAUCUCUAUGCAGGAGUUGAGAUUGACCUGGAUGCUAAAUCGAGACUCAGACCCCUUUUUCAACCCGCGCACAGAAACAACCAUACGCUGAGUAUUUUACACUCAGUGGUAUUACCAUAAUUCAAAUUAUAAUAGCAAUAAAGAAUUAUAAUUACGAAGCAUGUAACUAUCCGAUUUCUUAAAUAUCAAUUAAUUCAUAAACUUUCAUUAUUUAACAAUAGCAAUACAAUUUUUUUUAGCUAUUCUUCAUUCUCAAUCACAUAUCACAUGUAGCAAUUUCAAUCACUACAUAAACAUUAAAUUCAUGCAUUUUAUUUUCAAUAUCAAUUUCAAUCUGAAAUUUUAAAUUUUCUCAUAUUCAAUACCACAAUCGAUCAAAUUCAUUUAAUUUUCUCAUUUCAAUUAUUCACCCUAUUAACAAUCUGGACUUUGACGGAUACAUGGAUUCCAACCCAAACACACUAGUACAGCACAUUGUGCCUAAAACGGUACAUAGUACCUGAUCAGUAUACGACACAUAAGUGCCUGAAACGACACACGAGGUGCCUGAUACGACACAUAAAGUGCCUGAUCGGCAAAGCCGAUAAAUCCCGUACUCUUCCAAAUCCUAUGGCAUGCCAACUAUAUCCGACUUAGCCCGACUAGUUAAUAGGGUAUUCAAAUUCUCAAUUCUCUUUGAUUUUCAAUUCAAGAUCACUUUUCCACUUUCUAAUCAAUUAACAAUUUAAUAUCAAUACAUAUUUCAAAUAAUCACAUAUAAUCAUAUUUCAAUUCAAUUCAAACCACUUUUCAAUCAUUACACAAUUCACAUAUUCACACAUAUUCAUAAAUUAAUUCACUUUAUUUAAUUCAUUUUUUAAAUCCAUUUUUUAAUCAAAUUCAAAUCACUAAAUACUUUUUAAUCAAUAUACAUUUCAAAUACUCACAUAUUUCCAUCAUUCAAUUUAAUUUGAUUCAAUUCAAGUCACUAUUAUCAUUCCAAUUGCUUACCUAAUUUUACUUACCAUGCAUUUUAAUUAAAAUAUAACAAUUAAUAAUAAAUAGAUUUGAAUUAUAGUAAUACAAACCCGAAUUUGCUCGAUUAUUCCUCAACGACCUUCUUCUUCCCUUUUUGUGGCGAUACCUCGAAUUAUUUAUUAGCUACGAAAAUUAAAUAAUUAAAUAAUUAAUUACAGCACAAAUUUUACAAUAAAAAUAAAAUUUCUAUCAAAUUUUAUACUUUAAUUCCAAUUUAAUCCUAACUAGAUUUAUCUACUUUUCUAAUCUAAUUCAUACUCUAUUUCUAUUCAAAUUUCUUAUAAACUCAAAUUUAUCUACUAAUUUUCAGCAUUUUUCACUAAUUUUGAAUUUUCCUCAAUUUAAUCCCUAAAAUUCAAAACUUAUAGUUUAGUUUACAAUUCAAUCCUUUAUUCAAUUCCAAAUAAAAUUUCUAUUAAAUAAAUCCUCAAUUCCAUCAUUUAUUCAACAUAAACCCUACUCAAAAAUCUAUUAACUUUCAAAUUUUCAACUUAAAUCCAAGAGUAUUUCAUUCUAGGAUUCCAAAAACAUCAAAUUUAUGAGAAAAGGACUUGAUUUAGUUUACCUAUUAAACUUCAAGCUUCAAAAUCUCAAUUUUCCCCCUUUCUUUUCUUUCCCUUUUCUUCCCCUGUUUUCGUCUCUUUCUCUGUUUCUUUUCUGUUCUUCUUCUCUUUUUCUGUUCUUUUAUUUCAUUUGUUUUCUUUUACUUUUUGUUAUAAUAAUAUAAUAUAUAAUAAUUAGUAUAAAUAUCUUUUACCACACAUGUCAUAUUCAUAACCAUACAUUUGUCUUAAUUUAUUUCACAAUAUAAUAAUAUAGAAUAAUUUAUGCCGCCUCAAAUUUGGCAAUUAGCAUAAUUGCCCAUUUGACCCCUAUUAUUUUCCUUUAAUCUAUAAUUAAACUUUCACUUCUAUUAUAAUUUAAUCCUUUUUACUAAUUACUGUUAAUUAGACUAAAUUCACCUAAUUAAUACCUAAUUAAGCACUAAAUUAAACUCAUGAUUACUUCUAAUAAUUAUUUUCGAACUCAAUUUACUAAGACGGAGGCCCGAUAUUAUACUUUUCCGAUGCCCGUGAAUUUUUGGGUCAUUACAAGAUGGUUGGCACCAUGUAUUUUUUUUCAAAAAAAAUUUUUUUGGGUACUGGCACACUGAUGGCCGGCACCCCUUUAUCUGAUUAAAAAAAUAUUUUUUUGGGGGAAAGUGGUGCCGGCCAACAAAGGGCCAAAAUCACCCAACAAAAAAAAUUGGAAAUAUUUCAACAUAACCCCUCCUUGUUUUCUCAUCUUUUUUAUUUCCCAAAUUUAAUUACAUAUUUUAUAUUUUAAAACAAUAUUGAACUACUUAUCAUAUUUUUUAAUUAUUAUUGCAUCACUCAAAUUAUUAUUAAAUUUAAAAACUAAUUUAAAAUAUAUUGAACUACAUAUUUUAUAAAAUUUAAAAUUUUCAUGAUUGAAUUUUCCAUCUUUUGAAUUUCAUAUUUUUUAAAAAUUUUUGUUUUUAUUUUGUUAAAUGUAACUUGAUUGUUGUUAAACUCAAGUAUAAAUAAUAAAUUAAGCCUAAAAAAAAUAUAUUUAUUUUUAAAAAUAUUUAUUAAUUUUAAUAUUGAAUUUUAUAAUUGUGAAAAUAUAUUAAAAUGCUAAAUACAAUAUCCAAAAUGACAGUAAUUGAUACUAAACUAGUUAAUUUUCAAAUCAAUAAUUUAAAAUUAAUUUAAAUUUAAUAUGCACAAUUAAAUUAUAUGUUUUUUUUAUAAAAUUAGAAUAUGCUUUUAUGAUUUUCAUCCUUUAUAAUAAUUCAAAUAAAUAUUGCUAAAUUAUUUUUUAUUUUAAAAAAUAAUGAGUAAUAUAUUUAUAAAAUAUGUAGUUCAAUAUAUUUUAAAUUAAUUUUUAAAUUUAAUAAUAAUGUGAGUGAUGCAAUACUAAUUAAAAAACAUGAUCAUAUUAUUUUAAAAUAUAAAAUAUGUAAUUAAACUUGGGAAAUAAAAAAGAUGAGAAAACAAGGAGGGGUUAUGUUGCAAUAUUCCCAUUUUUUUUGUUGGGUGAUUUUGGCCCUUUGUUGGCCCACACCACUUUCCCCCAAAAAAUAUUUUUUAAUCAGAUAAAAAGGGUAUCGGCCAUAAGUGUGCUAGCAUCCAAAAAAAAAUUGAAAAAAAAGACAUGGUGCCAGCCAUCUAGUGUCCAAAACCUCAAAAAUUAUUUUUUAAUAGAAAAAAGUGGUGCCGGCCAUCUAUUUCCCAUAACCUAAUUUUACUGUUUAUUUCAAGUCAUUUUGGUGAAUGUUUUUGAAUCAGGGUCAUUUUUAUAAAUAUCAAAUUUUUUUAGGUUAGAUUGGUAAAAUAGCCGUUUUUAUAAUAUCAUCAUUCAUUUUAUUAUUAAAAAUUAAUAAGAUACUUUUAAAAAUUAUGGUUUAUAUAUUUUUUAUAUUAGAAAAUUUUGAUAAUUUAUUUUUUAUUUUACAAACUACUUUAAAAAAUUAAUAUAUAUUUAUUUUUUUAAAUAUUUUAACAACAGUGUAACCAAUAAUUUCAUUACAUUUAAAUAAAAAUAUCUUUUCCCCACCCUUGAAAACUUCAAUCAAGACUUCAUAAAAGACCAGGCCCCCUUGUUAGUUUACAAAAAAAGGGAGCUUCGGAAAUGGAAGUGGAGUCUGUCUUGCUUGCUUUGCUGUUGAUAAAUGCCCUUGCGUUUUCGCAGCUUAAUCUGGCAGUUGAGGCGGCUGAGUCUGUUCCUCUAUCACCAUCGGAUGAUUUCUCGAAAGAGUUGAAAGCUUUGUCUAGGAGGAGUCGGCGAAUAACUCCACCAUCACCCAGGAUUAAUGCUCCUGUUCACUUCAAAAGGCCUCCUCUAUUACCUCGACCUCCUCCGCCGCCACGGUCACCACCACCUCCAUGUCUGUGGCGUCCACCUACUCCGUUUGGAUAAGACGAUUGUUUCCCAGAUUUCACACAAUUGAUGAAGCUCUCAUGUCAUCAGCUUUUGUUUGUAAAUUGUAAAACUUUAAAGUGCUUGUAUGUUAGCAGCAAAUACCAGCUUUGUUUAGCUCUAAUAAUAAUUAAAUUUGUAAUGAUAAAAAUAAUAAUAUGUUAAAUACAAAAAUGAAUAAAUGUAUGCAUCACUUUCACUUAAACACUCGUUAAGAAAUUGUUUAAUAAGUAUCCCUUGUCUUCCCUUCCCAUCUCUUUGAAGUCUCCCGACCAUCUCUAUAUGCAGCAUAAAUGAUGAGCAGCUCCCCAUCAACGAGGACCUGGGUCCUCAAAGGCCAACUAAAAAACAACAAUCUCUACGUCUAUGGAGCCUGGACUGCAGAAACUGAGAAACCUCCAAUUCCAAGCUCCCUGGUUCGGUGCGAAGGGCAUUAAAUACCCAACUACCAUAUUUAUAUUGGCCACUCCACUCUAGAGGUGAUCAUGAACCGGG